This 385-nucleotide ribosomal RNA is filed under the name uncultured bacterium. Its description in RNAcentral is "bacterial SSU rRNA". It matches the Rfam family "Bacterial small subunit ribosomal RNA", at positions 29 to 402 of the family's 1533-position model. The record is from RNAcentral.
AACGAACGCUGGCGGCGCGCCUAAUACAUGCAAGUCGAGCGAGAAGACGUAGCAAUACGUUUGUAAAGCGGCGAACGGGUGAGGAAUACAUGGGUAACCUACCCUCGAGUGGGGAAGUAACUAGCCGAAAGGUUAGCUAAUACCGCGUACGCUCCUUGGACUUCGGUUCAGGGAGGAAAGCGAUACCGUGGGUAGUCGCGCUCUUGGAUGGGCUCAUGUCCUAUCAGCUUGUUGGUGAGGUAACGGCUCACCAAGGCUUCGACGGGUAGCUGGUCUGAGAGGACGAUCAGCCACACUGGCACUGCGACACGGGCCAGACUCCUACGGGAGGCAGCAGUAAGGAAUAUUGCGCAAUGGGCGAAAGCCUGACGCAGCGACGCCGCGU